This 1346-nucleotide ribosomal RNA is filed under the name uncultured bacterium. Its description in RNAcentral is "partial 16S ribosomal RNA". It matches the Rfam family "Bacterial small subunit ribosomal RNA", at positions 28 to 1381 of the family's 1533-position model. The record is from RNAcentral.
GACGAACGCUGUCGGCGUGCUUAACACAUGCAAGUCGAACGGAAAGGCCCUGCUUUUGUGGGGUGCUCGAGUGGCGAACGGGUGAGUAACACGUGAGUAACCUGCCCUUGACUUUGGGAUAACUUCGGGAAACUGGGGCUAAUACCGGAUAGGAGCUCCUGCUGCAUGGUGGGGGUUGGAAAGUUUCGGCGGUUGGGGAUGGACUCGCGGCUUAUCAGCUUGUUGGUGGGGUAGUGGCUUACCAAGGCUUUGACGGGUAGCCGGCCUGAGAGGGUGACCGGCCACAUUGGGACUGAGAUACGGCCCAGACUCCUACGGGAGGCAGCAGUGGGGAAUAUUGCACAAUGGGCGGAAGCCUGAUGCAGCAACGCCGCGUGCGGGAUGACGGCCUUCGGGUUGUAAACCGCUUUCGCCUGUGACGAAGCGUGAGUGACGGUAAUGGGUAAAGAAGCACCGGCUAACUACGUGCCAGCAGCCGCGGUGAUACGUAGGGUGCGAGCGUUGUCCGGAUUUAUUGGGCGUAAAGGGCUCGUAGGUGGUUGAUCGCGUCGGAAGUGUAAUCUUGGGGCUUAACCCUGAGCGUGCUUUCGAUAAGGGUUGACUUGAGGAAGGUAGGGGAGAAUGGAAUUCCUGGUGGAGCGGUGGAAUGCGCAGAUAUCAGGAGGAACACCAGUGGCGAAGGCGGUUCUCUGGGCCUUUCCUGACGCUGAGGAGCGAAAGCGUGGGGAGCGAACAGGCUUAGAUACCCUGGUAGUCCACGCUGUAAACGGUGGGUACUAGGUGUGGGGUCCAUUCCACGGGUUCCGUGCCGUAGCUAACGCUUUAAGUACCCCGCCUGGGGAGUACGGCCGCAAGGCUAAAACUCAAAGGAAUUGACGGGGCCCCGCACAAGCGGCGGAGCAUGCGGAUUAAUUCGAUGCAACGCGUAGAACCUUACCUGGGUUUGACAUGGAUCGGGAGUGCUCAGAGAUGGGUGUGCCUCUUUUGGGGUCGGUUCACAGGUGGUGCAUGGCUGUCGUCAGCUCGUGUCGUGAGAUGUUGGGUUAAGUCCCGCAACGAGCGCAACCCUUGUUCACUGUUGCCAGCACGUUAUGGUGGGGACUCAGUGGAGACCGCCGGGGUCAACUCGGAGGAAGGUGGGGAUGACGUCAAGUCAUCAUGCCCCUUAUGUCCAGGGCUUCACGCAUGCUACAAUGGCUGGUACAGAGAGUGGCGAGCCUGUGAGGGUGAGCGAAUCUCGGAAAGCCGGUCUCAGUUCGGAUUGGGGUCUGCAACUCGACCUCAUGAAGUCGGAGUCGCUAGUAAUCGCAGAUCAGCAACGCUGCGGUGAAUACGUUCCCGGGGCU